GACGAACGCUGGCGGCGUGCAUAACACAUGCAAGUCACGGGGGCCCGCAAGGGCAACCGGCGAACGGGUGCGUAACACGUGAGCAACCUGCCACCGUGUGGGGCAUAGCCGGCCUAACGGCCGGGUAAUUCCGCAUACGACCUUCUGGAGACAUCUCUAGGAGAGGAAACGAGUAAUCGGCACGGUGAGGGGCUCGCGGCCUAUCAGCUAGUUGGUGAGGGUAACGGCCCACCAAGGCAACGACGGGUAGCUGGUCUGAGAGGAUGGCCA
Molecule: ribosomal RNA, 270 nt
Filed under: uncultured bacterium
Lineage: Bacteria
Description: partial 16S ribosomal RNA
Rfam family: Bacterial small subunit ribosomal RNA
Source: RNAcentral